Molecule: long non-coding RNA, 565 nt
Filed under: Olea europaea subsp. europaea
Lineage: Eukaryota; Viridiplantae; Streptophyta; Magnoliopsida; Lamiales; Oleaceae
Source: RNAcentral
CAAAAUUUCUCUCUCCUUAUCACAAAAAUCACAUCUCACCAUUUCUCCCUCCAUCACAGAAAUAACCUCAAAAAUACCUGGCUCCGACAACAAAAACGAGAGAAAAAUUUACUCCGGCGGCCGCGUUUGUUAUGGGGCUUUGGAAGAAAAAAAAAAUGUACUCCAACGGUCGAUCUACUUUGGGGGUAAAAUCUUGGGGGGUGCGGUGGUGGUGGUACCAUGGUGAUGUCGGUUGCAAUGAUGUUGGUGGUGUCUAACGGAAGGGUUUGGAGGCGAUGGAAGACCAAGAGAAAGGUUUGGAGGAGGGAGUUGGAAGAGCCACCAGCAGCAGCCCGUCUCCACCACCAACAGCAUAGUUAUUAUUAUUAAUUAUAGGGAUUAUUUAUAAGUUAGUUUUUAUCAAAUGAAAAAAAUUUGUAGAAUAUUUCAUUCUAGCAAAACAUUAACGAAGCUCAUCGGCCAAUGAGCGAGUUUUAAGGUCGACGGUCAAUGUAUGGCAAUAGGAUCUUCAUUUACAUAUUGUUCGAUCAUGUUGACCAAAAAGGGAUAAAUAUGUAUAUUCUGG